AGGUGGGAAGUAGGACGCGCACCGCACCGCCUCACCGCCAGAGCCCCACCACCUAAUCACCCUACUACGUCACCACUGGAAAGAUUAUAUAAGAGAUACCUACUGUUUCCAGAAUCAUCCUUGUUCUUUCUUACUGACCCACCCCAGCCCCAGCUCCAGCCCAAGGAGUGGCUCGGAGAUGUGUCUAUAGCCUAUACCCGAAGAAUGAAGGAACACACAGAGAAAUUUCAUUGCUCUUCACAACCGAAAUUAUUAAGAUAAUGAUUUCAUAGCAAAAAGGCUUUCGCAACAAAAUAAAUUUUGUCGCCUAUACCAUAUUGGUAAAUGUCUUUGGCAACAAAUUUGACUUUUGUAAUGCAAGAUAACGUUUUGCGAUGAUAGAAACAAGAUAUAGCUAUAAAAAUAUGAUUUUGUAGCUAAAGUUUUUUCGCUAUAAAAAUAAAAUUUCAUUUAAAAAAAUAAGAAGGAUUUUAACAACAAAAUAUACAUGAUUUUUGUAGUCAAAUGGUUUUACCUAUGAAAAUAUGAUUUUGUACUUGAAACUCUUGUGCUAUGAAAAUAAGAUCUUUGUAGCAAAAGAAUUUUAGGGACACAAAUAAUUUUAUAGUACAUAAUUAUUUUUAGCGACAAAAUUAAUUUUUGUAGUUGAAUGACACUUUCUAACUAUGAAAAAUAUUCGGUAGUUACAAAAUUCACAGAAAGGAGAAAGAUCCAAGCACAUGAGGGCAAAGGUAAUAGUUUCUCAUGGUUGCCUUCACGAUUCUCAUUAUUUCUUCCAAUUCCAUGUAUGGGUACAUACAAACAUAAUACAUUACAUUUACCUCACUAUGAAAUAGGAUCCCAGUCAUGGAUGUUGCUUUAGUACUAGUUGUGGAGAAACAUACAAGAAUUUUAAUAAUGGUUGGCCACAAGUGAAUGUCAAUAAUCAAAUCAUCAAUGAUCAUUGAGUCUGCAACAAGUCUUACUGUAAAAAUGUCAUUAACUUAGUUGAAACUUUUGAGAGCCAAUUGAAAUGUGGGACAAAUGAAAAUCCUGCCUCAAAUGCUAGCAAUAACAGUUUAAAAUAUUUCUUCAGUAGAACUUAUCUUUGACGAUAUCCCAUCUCAAUAGCUCUUUGAAUCAAGUAUAUGACGAAGAGAAGAGUCUAAAUCAUUCUCUAAUGCACCUACCUUUUCUAGGUAAUUUUUUUUUUUACUUCUUUUCUUUUUUAUGAUUAUCAGAUCUCAUAAGAAAAAUUAUAAUUACUUCAUAAUAUCUAUUCCUUUUAUUCCUUGAAAAGAUGUUAUUGUUGACCAGAAAAUCUUUAGGCUUUUCCAUGAUUCAGUAUCCUUAAUAUAUUUAAUUUAAAGCGAAGAUGGGUGUAAUUACAUUUCAAAAUUGAAGGGUUAUGAAAGCUAGCCCAAACAGUGACCUUUGUAUUGUGGAGUUACAAUUUCCCCAUAUGGAGGCCUAAAAUGAGACUUUGUUGAUGAUGAGUUUUAAAGCAAAUUUAACAAAGAUUCUACAGCUUGUGAUCUGAUGAAAGAUGAAUAAUAUAUGUAGGUACAUAGGCAAGCCACUGCAAUCUCGCAACUAUAUCUUACCAAUAAAUUGCAAUCAACACAAAAAUCAAGGAUCAUGAAAUCAGUUCUACCAGAUAAGUAUGCAAUCAAAACCCUGUAGUUGUUUUUUUUUUUUUUUUUAGUGAAUAGUUCACGCAUAUGAGAUAGCAAUAUUUUGUGUAAGCUUCUAAGUUUUUGCUUUGGACUUUUUCCAUGUUGAUUUAUUUUUGGUUUAGAUUCUUUUGAGUUUCACCUAGUGCGGUGGUGGGAUGAUACUCUACUCUACCUUUUUGUGGUUUUGGUGAAUUUGUAUAAAAUUUACUUUCUAGAGUAUUUUUUUUAAGCUUGAUUGUGGUGAAAUGGGUUAAUUGUGGUGUAGUAAAUUUCUUUAAACAUAUUACUAUGUAUAAAUAUUGAACCUUGAUGGAAAGUUGGGGUCAACGUUACGCGUAAAUGUUUUGGGAGGUAAUGGUUGUCCUAUACAUGCGAUCUAAAUAUUUAUCUACACGGUGUAUAGUUAAUGCAGUAUGCCUAAACUUCAUACAUGUUCAUGUUUUUUCAAUAAUUUUUAUUAUUUUGUUUACUUUUUAUAAAUGCGAUUCCAAUAUAUGUAUAUUUUUGUUAACUUGGUUUGAAUGUGAUUCCAACAAUAUUUCAAUUUGUUUUAUAUAUAAUUAAUUACAACAAUUUAUAAGAUUAUUGUUGGUUUAUUAUAGGUUGCAAUUGGAGAUGGAGUAUUUAAAGUCUACUAAGUUUGUGUAAAAGAUAAAUUUAGAAAAUCAGACCCUGAAUUCAUGCUCUUGGGUUAUUAUCUCCUAUUUAAGGGUUAGGGUGAGCUUGGAAUGAUAAGGCCUGAAUCAUAUGAUCUAUACACUGACUGAAUUUAACCAUGAGCUCGGAAUGGCCCUGAAGUCAAUGGCCUCUUCUCAUGCUUCGUAUUCAAAAGUCACACGUCCUAUCUUGAACAUUUCUACCAAGUUCAUUCUUUUUGUACCUAUUUCAUCUCUAAUGGCUAGCAUUUAAUGCCUAAUGAUCAAUAUUUUUUUUCUAUCAGGCUCUAUAAAUUCAACAACAACAAUAAUAGAAUCUUAACUUUUUUUAGCUUUGCUCGAAUAUGAUUUCGGUUGCGUUUUAAUAGAUGAUGGCUAUAUAUAACACAACUAAAAUCACAUUAGAGCAAAGCCAAAAAGGUUAGAAAAUUCUAUUAUUGUUUCUGCUAAAUGAUAUUACAUAGCCUGAUGGAGAAAAAUAUUGAGCAAUAGGCAUUAUAUGUUGGCCAUUAAGGAUGAAAUAGGUAUAAAAAGAAUGAACUUAGAAGAAAUAUUCAAUAUAGGAUGCAUGCCUUAUGAAUAUGAAGCAUGAGUAGAGGCAAUUUACUUGAGGGCCAUUCUAAGCUUAUGGUUAGAUUCAAUCAGUGUCUAGAUCAUAUAAUUCGGGCCUUAUCAUUUCUAGCUCUCCUUGAUCCUUAAACACAAGAUAAUAAACCAUGAGCAUGAAUUCAGGGUCCGAGUCUCUAAAGUUUCAUAAAUACAAUCUUAGUAGACUUUGAAUAUUCCAUCUUUGAAAUGCAACAUAAAUACAACUGUAGUAUAGAAAAAACCAACAACAAUCUCAUAAAUUGUAAUAAUUAAUUAUAUCUACAAAAAAAUGAAAUAUUGUUGGAAUCACAUUCAAACACAGUUAACAAAAAACCAUUUCUCUGAGAAACUCCGAAAACACAAUAAGAAGGAACAUGAUGGAGUUUAGGCCGGUUGCAUUAACUAUACACCGUGUAGAAUAUUUAGAUCACAUGAAUAGGAAAAUUAUUACUUCCAUAUAAACAUUUACGCACAGCCCUGUCCCCAACUUUCCAUCAAGCUUCCAUAUUUAUAUAUAGUAUUUUUUAAGAUAUUCAUUUUUACCUCAAUCAAGCUUAAAAACAAUACUCUUGAAAGUAAAUUUACACAAAUUCAUCAAACCAACAAAUGUACAAUAGAGCAUCAUCCCAUUAUCGCACAAUGUGAAACUCAAAGAAUCUAAACCAAGGAUAAAUUGACAACAUGGAAAAAAGUCCAAAGCACGCAAGUAAAAGCAUACAAAAAAUAUUGCUAUUUCAUAUACAAGAACUAUUUAUCGAAAUAAAAUCAAACAAACAACUAGAAGGGUUUGAUUGCAUACUUGUCAGUUAGAAUUGAUUUCAUAAUCACUGAUUCUUGUGUAGAUUACAGUUUCUUGGUGAUGUUGACUUGUAGGACUGUCGUGACUUGUCUAUGUACCUUUGAAUUAGUUAUUAUUCAUCACAUCACAUGUUGUAGAAUGUUUGUUAAACUUGCUUUAUAACUCAUCCAAAAACUAAAAACAAACUCUAAUUUUAGGCCCCAAUCUGGGAAAUUCUAUCUCCAAACUACAUAGGUCACAGUUUGGGUUGGCCCUUCAUAUUCCUUAUUUGAGAUGUAAAUUACACCCCUCUUCAAUUUUAUUUAAAAAUAUUAAGGAUAGUGAGCUAUGGAAAAGCCUAAAGCUUUUGUCGAAAUAUAAUAUCUUUUCAAGGUACACAGAGGUAAGAUUUUGCAUAGUAUUUGGAAAUUUUCUUAUGAAAUAUGACGAUCAUAAAAUAGAAAAGAAGUAAGAAAAAAAUUAGUAAUGGCAAAUGUAUUAGAGAAUGAUUUAGCUACUUUUUUUCACCAUCUACUUGGUUCAGAGAGCUAUUGGGAUUAGAUCACCUCAAAGAUAAGUCCAACAGGGGAAAUAUAUAUUAAACUUGUUAGUGCUAGCAUAUGAGCCAAGCUUUUCAAUUGUUCCACCUUUCAACUAGCUCUCAAAUGUUCCAACCAAGUCCAUGACAGUUUUUAAAAAAGACUUGUUGGAAACACAAUGGUCAUUAAUACUUUAAUUAUUGGCAUUCACUUCUGGCUGACCAUCAUAAAAUUUCUUGUAUGUUGUUUCACGACAAGUAUUUAUAGCAGCAACCACAGGUGGGGAUCCUAAUUCAUAAUGAACAAAAUGUAGUGUAGUACCUAUGUACGUACCCUUACAUGGCACUAGAAGGAAUAAUGAGAAUCAUGAAGGCAACAAUGAGAAAUUAUUACCUCCACCAUCAUGUGCUUGGAUUCUUUUUCGUUAGUGUGAAUUUUGUAACUAUAAGAUCACUAUAAAAAAAUAUUUAAUUAGCUACAAUAUUUUUAACUAUGAAUAUAUAUUCAUAGUUAAAAAGUGUUAUUCAACUACCAAAUUUAAUUUUGUUGCUAAAACUAAUUAUUUACUAAAAAUUUAAUUUUUUUUCGCUAAAAUUGUUUUUCUAAGAAAUCUUAUUUUCAUUGCUAAAACCAUUUGGCUAGAAAUAUCAGCCAUUAUUGUUGUUAAUUUCUUUUUUAUUAUUAUAGCGAAAGAGUUUUUGCUAAGAAAUCAUAUUUUCGUAAAUAUAUCUAAUUUUCAAAGGAUUAUCUUGCAUUACAAAAGUCAAAGUUGUUGCCAAAGACAUUUACCAACACGGUACAAGAAAUUAAACUCAUUUCCUCGCAAAAGGCUUUUUUUCUAAAAAAUCAUUAUCUUUUGCUACAAUUUUUUUUUAGCUGAAUUUCAACUUUUUUGUAGUGUAUAGACAUCUUGAUGCCCUUGGUUGAGAGGGGUGAAAACACUAAUUUUGUACAUGUUUUCCUAGUGAUUUCUAUAAGCAUAUCUUGCAAUUUUAUACUGAACUUGUCAUAACCUAUGCCAAAAUGCCUUGCUAAAUGUGUUUUACAUCAUUCUUCUAUGAUUUGAUACGCAUUGGUAGUUUUGAAGUGUUUCAGAUGCAAGAUGAGGAAAAAUAUGAAAAAAAAGGGAAUGUGUGCUGAAAUUAAUCCUGAAUGCAUGAGAAAUAUGUGAGCCAAUUUUUUCUGAUACCUAAUCACAAUUCAGAAGUUGUUUGAGAUGCAAAGUUUUGUGAGAACUCAUCUGAAGGAUUGGACGGUGGAGAAUCAAUUUGCAGCUGUCAAUGGCAACCUCCAUCUUCUAGAAGCUUGGCCGACACCUAUAAAUAGGAUCCAAUUCGGAGCUCAUUUCUCAAGAUUUCACAAUCUAAAAUUCGUAUCUAUUUCAGAAAGAGCUCAAGUUGUAAGUAACUCUGGACGCUACAAGUGGGUGGUCAGCAACACUCGUAACAUGAGUCGCAUGCUCGCCACCCAUCCUAUUUAAUUUCUAUAUUUAGAUAAAUUUACAAGCUUUAUAAUAUAAAACACAAGAUAAAUUUGUAGUUUAAAUCGCCACGUUACACUCAUAAUGUAAUUGCAACAUUCAGAUUAUUUAAUUUCUAGGUAAUGAAAUACUAUAAUUUCUCCAUCACACUAUUAUUCCUGGAUGACAUAUACUACAGUUAAAUACUCACGAAGUACCUUAAACAAUAUAACUAAAACAUGAAUAUAAGUCAUUUAACCAAAUUUACCUAGAUUAAUAUGAAAGGAAAUCACGGUGCUAGGUAGACUCAGGACUCUCACAAAAGAGACCUUUUGAACGCAAUUUGGCUUAGAAAAUAUAGUAAAAAAGCAAGUGGUGAACUGAUCAAUUGAUUCAUUAGUUGGGAGUGUCGAUGAGAAUUGCUUGCAGGGAAGUGAAAUAUGAAUAUAGAAAUGGAUUAUCAGCUCAAUAAUCAACAUUUAAUUUGUCUUUCCAAUGUACCUAAAGACUAGAAAAAUCUUAGAAUUUUUCACUUUAAUUAUGUACUCGCAUUUAAAUUGAGAAUUACAUUCAAUGCAUCUUCAAUUCAAGUCUUGAGUCAUAUGCUCGCAUUCAUCCUUACUCAAAUUUUCCCUUACACUUUUGCCUGAGUUCGACUCGGCAUUCACCGGUUAAC
Molecule: long non-coding RNA, 6351 nt
Organism: Andrographis paniculata
Lineage: Eukaryota; Viridiplantae; Streptophyta; Magnoliopsida; Lamiales; Acanthaceae
Exons: 3
Source: RefSeq, a predicted model, not a curated record